AUGAAGAACGUAGCGAAAUGCGAUACGUAAUGUGAAUUGCAGAAUUCAGUGAAUCAUCGAGUCUUUGAACGCACAUUGCGCCCCCUGGUAUUCCGGGGGGCAUGCCUGUCCGAGCGUCAUUGCUGCCCUCAAGCACGGCUUGUGUGUUGGGCCUCCGUCCUCCUCCCGGGGGACGGGCCCGAAAGGCAGCGGCGGCACCGCGUCCGGUCCUCGAGCGUAUGGGGCUUCGUCACCCGCUCUUGUAGGCCCGGCCGGCGCUUGCCGACACAUCAAUCUUUUUUCCAGGUUGACCUCGGAUCAGGUAGGGAUACCCGCUGAACUUAAGCAUAACAAUAAGCGGAGGA
RNAcentral lists this unclassified non-coding RNA (344 nucleotides) under soil metagenome. RNAcentral describes it as "partial contains 5.8S ribosomal RNA, internal transcribed spacer 2, and large subunit ribosomal RNA". The stretch from base 1 to 119 matches the Rfam family "5.8S ribosomal RNA", at positions 36 to 154 of the family's 154-position model. The record is from RNAcentral.